CCUUCGUUGGGGAACCUGGGGGAGGGACCAUUA
RNAcentral lists this ribosomal RNA (33 nucleotides) under Candida albicans. RNAcentral's name for it is "partial 18S ribosomal RNA". The record is from RNAcentral. Lineage: Eukaryota; Fungi; Ascomycota; Pichiomycetes; Serinales; Debaryomycetaceae.